UACGGGGGGAGCAAGCGUUGUUCGGAUUUACUGGGCGUAAAGGGCGCGUAGGCGGGAUGGCAAGUCGGUCGUGAAAUCUCUCGGCUCAACCGAGAAACGUCGGCCGAUACUGCCGUUCUUGAGGGAUGCAGAGGAGACUGGAAUUCCCGGUGUAGCGGUGAAAUGUGUAGAGAUCGGGAGGAACACCGGUGGCGAAGGCGGGUCUCUGGGCAUUUCCUGACGCUGAGGCGCGAAAGCGUGGGGAGCAAACGGG
This 253-nucleotide ribosomal RNA is filed under the name uncultured bacterium. RNAcentral's name for it is "partial 16S ribosomal RNA". It matches the Rfam family "Bacterial small subunit ribosomal RNA", at positions 524 to 776 of the family's 1533-position model. The record is from RNAcentral.